GGGCCCUUAGCUCAGCUGGCUAGAGCGCUUCCAUGGCAUGGAAGAGGCCACCGGUUCGAAUCCGGUAGGGUCCACCA
This 77-nucleotide transfer RNA is filed under the name Candidatus Uhrbacteria bacterium CG_4_10_14_0_2_um_filter_41_21. Its description in RNAcentral is "tRNA-Ala". It matches the Rfam family "tRNA". Rfam says of the family: Transfer RNA (tRNA) molecules are approximately 80 nucleotides in length. Lineage: Bacteria; Candidatus Uhriibacteriota. RNAcentral also lists the same sequence under 4 other names. The record is from RNAcentral.